This is a long non-coding RNA of Bradysia coprophila, 472 nucleotides long. The record is from RefSeq and is a predicted model, not a curated record. Lineage: Eukaryota; Metazoa; Arthropoda; Insecta; Diptera; Sciaridae.
CAUUUUAGCACGGAGAUGUGUUUGGAGCGGAACAGAAAUUUUUGGAGUCUCGACGGUCUAAGGAGUCAAAUUCCACCGCAGAUUGGCGAGAUUUGAUCGACAGAGGCCUGAUAGCAGUAGCACAAAAUGACUUCCAAACCGCAUUCGGAUUCUUCGACAAUGCAUUGAAAUUGGAACAAACACCGAACACUAUGUUGCUCAACAAUAUGGGUGUUUGCAAACUGUAUUCCGGUAAGCUGAAAGAUGCAAUUGCAUUGUUUGAACGUGCCGUGAUAUCGAAUCCGCAGAAAGGCUUGAACGAAAGCCUUCUGUUGAAUUUGUCAACGCUGUACGAAUUGGAGUCGAGCAAUGAUGUGAUCAAGAAAUUGGCACUGUUGAAGCAGAUAAAUCGACACAAGAACGAUUUGAACAUCAAUUUGGAGUAUUGUCUUAAACUGCAAACGGGAAAUAAAGUUUAUUAGGAAAUUGAAAA